RNAcentral lists this ribosomal RNA (472 nucleotides) under uncultured bacterium. RNAcentral's name for it is "bacterial SSU rRNA". It matches the Rfam family "Bacterial small subunit ribosomal RNA", at positions 355 to 825 of the family's 1533-position model. The record is from RNAcentral.
UGGGGAAUUUUGGACAAUGGGCGCAAGCCUGAUCCAGCCAUGCCGCGUGAGUGAAGAAGGCCUUCGGGUUGUAAAGCUCUUUCGGCGGGGACGAAACGGUUCGUGACAACACCACGGACUAAUGACGGUACUCGCAGAAGAAGCACCGGCUAACUACGUGCCAGCAGCCGCGGUAAUACGUAGGGUGCAGGCGUUAAUCGGAAUUACUGGGCGUAAAGCGUGCGCAGGCGGCUCCUUAAGUCAGAUGUGAAAGCCCCGGGCCUAACCUGGGAACUGCGUUUGAAACUGGGGAGCUAGAGUGUAGAAGAGGGGGGUGGAAUUCCAGGUGUAGCAGUGAAAUGCGUAGAGAUCUGGAGGAACACCGAUGGCGAAGGCAGCCCCCUGGGCUAACACUGACGCUCAGGUACGAAAGCGUGGGGAGCAAACAGGAUUAGAUACCCCAGUAGUCCCUGAGCGGGCUGGCAAGGCGCAU